This is a long non-coding RNA of Alosa sapidissima (American shad), 423 nucleotides long. RefSeq lists it as uncharacterized. The transcript has 2 exons. NCBI's taxonomy places the organism in Eukaryota, Metazoa, Chordata, Actinopteri, Clupeiformes, Clupeidae. The record is from RefSeq and is a predicted model, not a curated record.
AUUGAAGCAGGAUGGAGCAGUUUUCUUCGGCACAGCGUUCCGCUAAAAUGGCCGCUGCUACACAAACGUGACGUUGUCGCCCGAACUCUAUAGGACAGGGGCAGCACCAUGCUCUGGGGCUGCUCUUCAGCAGAAGAUACAAGAAAAACAUGGCUCCCAUCAAAGGCAGUAGGAAUUCAGUAGGAAUUCACCUACACAGAAGAAAAUCACCCAGGAGAACCUUGAUCAUGUUACAUCAUUAUCAACAGAUCUCUGUCUGGGUCAAGGAUCCAUGGUUCAGCAAGCCAACUUCCCAAAGCACUUAUCACAAAUAUGAAGUAGGCUAAUGCUUUUGUAAAGGUUGUGGAAUGGUGCAAGAAGGCCUUUGGCAAUAAAGGGACAGAGAGAGAGAGAGAGAGAGAGAGAGAGAAUCAGAUUUGAGAU